Passer montanus (Eurasian tree sparrow) is the source of this 6978-nucleotide long non-coding RNA. RefSeq lists it as uncharacterized. NCBI's taxonomy places the organism in Eukaryota, Metazoa, Chordata, Aves, Passeriformes, Passeridae. The record is from RefSeq and is a predicted model, not a curated record. The transcript is spliced from 6 exons.
UGCUGGGAUAGUGGGAAGAAGCUGGUAGCUGCUACCAGGAAGAAAAUCACAUGCAAAGACAGAAAACCAGAUCUAAGCUGGAACUAGCAGCAAGAGAAGUAGUUUUGUUGGAGCCGUGACUGAAAGCUGAAACAUUAGAGACUCCUCAGAACCUUUGAUAGCAGUCCAUGAACUCAUAGGAACCUGCAGGAACUGGAUAACACUUUGGACUGGAUAGCAGCAAUUUCUAACCUGAAUUACUUACCCAUGCUAACGAAGAUGGAAAUGAGCUUUCACAUCCAACUCUUACAGGGUUCUCCUGAUGUUGUUUAAAAUGGAUUUAAAUUUUAUCACCGAUGGCAGGAAAUUACCCAGCUCAUAACUAGGAUGGAAUAAACCUACCUACUCCAGCUUUCUCUGCCUAAAAAAGUCAUCAUUGUCUAGCGGCUGUGGUGACCUCAGAGACAUGAAUCAAGUUUGCCAGGAUAUGGAGAGAUCUGCAAGGAAACCCAUUUGCAGAAUUGCCUAAAGCAUCCCAGAUACUGUACAUUAAAGUAUGGCAAAUUAAUUCAAUCCUACCUCCUUCCACUCGGGUUGAGCUGCCUGAUUUGCACAUAAAAACAGUGUAAAACUUUGGACAAAGAGCAGAAACACUGUGGCUGAUGUAGUGGUUCAGAGAUAUAAUAGAAGUGAGGCUUAAAGGGAGGACGAGUCUUUCAAAGAGCCAAGAUUCCAGCCUAAAACUCCAAUCAAACCUUCAAAAAAAAUCAGCAGACUAUGAAGCAUGAACAUGAAACAUGAAUAUUGUUCCUAUUACUGAAUGAAUAUACUAAUUUUCAAAGUGCAUAUGCCUGAAUGUAUUUACUUUAGAGGCAAGCUUUCAAAAACUCCUUGCGUAUACAGCUUGAUUCCAGCAUUAAUACAAUUUGCAAUGAGCUAGCUAAUGAGCUUCUGGUUUUGAACAACUUGACUCUAUUUAUGAAAGAUUAGACCCACUGAGAAUCACAUUAUUCCUUUUUCAUAAAGUAUUUGAAUCUAGCUGCUGUAAGGUUGCAAAAUACUGCAGAACAGUCAGAUUCAGAGAUUAUUUAAUCAGUAAUAAAAUGUCAUUGUAGGCAGCAUAGCAGUACUUCCUAAAUCCCCCGAUGCAUGGUCGGCUUAUUUCAUUAGAAUCUGUGCUGGCUGUUCUCCAAAGAUGCAGAACUAAUGCUAUCUGCAAUUAUCGGAUUUUGUUAAGCACAGAGCAUUUGACAGUUACAGUGUUAAUGAAUGAAGAAUAGCUAAGCAAGUCUCUAAUCCAUUGCUCAUUGUUUUAAAAAAAAAAAAAAAAUUAGAGCCCAAGCCUGCCAUACUCAGUUAUAAUAUGACUCAAAUCAGCAGAAUAAAUAGCUCUGCACCUUUUCUCCCUGUGAGGGAAAUGUAAUGCAUUGCUUGCCAUUUUGCAAAUAAGAGGCUUUUUACUGAGAAAUCCUUUGCUGAGAAAUAAGUAAGAUGUAAAGUUUUCUAACAAGUAGGGGUGUGAUAUCUACCUAUCAUGGCCAUAUUCCUGCCUGUUGCAAAAAUAAUCUCUCGAUAGGAAAAGGAGGAAAUAAUCUAGUCUGCCACUAGAAAUAUCAGUGCCUUUUAAUUAGCCCUUAGCAAGUGAGUUAUCACGGUGUGUAUUGCACUGUGUUGAUAAAGCUGUGAGGGGAAAUGACUGCAGCUAAUGACUAGCUCUGAGUUCAGAAUUGCAGAGUGUUUCAUGAAGCUUCUGGAUGUUGGCACUUUCCAAGAGUGAUGGAGAUGUGGGUCCCCUGGCAGAGAAAAAGGCAAUACUUCUUGGGAACUAACAUAAAGCAGCAGAACCUGAAAAAGUCAGCCAUUCACUGGAAGGGGCCAGAUGGAAUGGGUCCUGUGGAAAGAUGAUAUGUGCCAUCUGUUGGGACCCCACUGCUGGAACAUUCUCAGAAUAUGAAUCUCUUCAACUCUUGCUCUCAACACGAUGGAGAAUAAAGUCACUCAGCUUGGCCACCCAGUACUGAAAGGCAGUGACAGCGUAUUCUCUUCCUUUCGUUCUGUGAUGAGAGACGCUGUCAUGCUGAUAAUGCAUCCAACCAGCAACCAGGAUUAGUGUUUUAUGAUGCUACUGGAAAACUAAUGUGUAACUGAUGCUUUGCCUUGGCACCAAACGGGAGAGGAGGAGCCCAGCCGCCCGGGGACAUCCGUAUCUCCAUGGUGCCACCUUCUGACUGGCAUGCGGGAGAGCCGGCUCCAGGGCUGGAGUAUCCCUGCCAGGAAAGGGGAUCGGCCCCUUGAGAGCACAUCGGCCUGAGGCUGGAGACAUGUGGGUGUGAGGGUCGAAAAGGGAGCCCUUGGGAGCACGACCUGGCGUGUAUGCAGUGUUCUGUGCUGCACACAGAACAACCUGGGGGUCUUCCAGCCUACUGGGCUCUAAGGCUCACUGCAUAAGUGCUGGUUGUCAGGUUUAGGUCAUGUUUGAAUUACCAGAAAUGAAAGAACUACCUGGGAAGUGAAUAUUUUAAAAUAUUUUAAAUUUUAUUUCACAGGAAAAAAAAAGCCCACCUAUGUUCACAUCAGUUCCAGGUUAAUUUACAGUAUGAUGACAGCAAGACUAUUAGACUAAAAUAUGACUAAUAGUCUUAUUUUCCAUGGAUGGAGAAAUGGUAGAGUUGAUAUUGAGGACUUUCUCUGUGACUUAUCACAGCUCCCAAGCACCUUAUACAGAGAUGAGAGCAAAUACAUAUCACUCUUUCAUCAAUAUGAAACGUAGGUCUUGACUUAAUUUCUUUGUCCCUUUCUCUUUUUAUUUCCAUUUAUUUAACCUUAUGUAUAAGUCCACAGGAGACUGCAGACCUGGGAUGAAUAUUACACACUGACUCAAAUCCUUCCUUGGUACUUGAGUCCUAGGAAGGGAAAUACCACAAAUACCUACUGAGGCAGGUAUUGGAAACUAGGAGAAUCUAUUCAUUUUUCUUACGUGCUGGAGUGGUCCUCUAUGUACCUGACCAAAGGGGACUCAGAAAUAGGGCCCUACCCAUUAAUGGGCUCUCCUGCUUAUGGUUGACUCAAAACUUAAAGGCAGCCAUGCUGAAGAUGCAUAUGGAAAAUAUAAUCCAUCUCAGUCUACCUUGACUUCUAAUACUCCUCAAAAUGUUAGAGUUACUGGACUAACUUUAGGGAAAAUCAUUAGAGUAUUAUACCUCUAGCACUUCUAAAUGUUUUGCUGAGAAGCUUAAAAAUAAUUAAAAGUAUAAAAAUGAGCAGAUAUGUCCAUAAGAUAAUGUGGAGAAAAGAAUCUGAUGGAAGAGUUACUCUUCAGAGAAACUGUUCCUCUUCAUGGUAGGGGUCUCUCAACUCUUCUGAAAUGAAUUAAAGAAUAUUUGAAUUACAAAGCUGAAUGAAUUAAAGAAAAAUUCCUCAUAUUGUAUGCUGUAAAAGAUAAUUUUCCUCUGACCUUUCUCUUAUAAGGUUUAGUUACAAAUGGCUUGCUUUGAGAAGUUGAUACCUGAUACUCUAGAUGUCAAUUGUUUUGUUUUGUUCUGACGUUUCAAAUAAUUGUGUAUUGUUGCCCAUUCUAAGGGCGUAAUGCUUACAAGGCACAAGGCUUGAAGAAACCAGGGAGCUUGAGCUCUAUGUUCCAACAAAAUAGUGCUGCAGGGAGAGUAGCCUAGCAGUAAGCAGCCCUGGCAAAUUUUAGAAAAUUAAAACUAUUCAAGAGGCUUUUCUUUUUGUUCGUUUGCCUAGUUUGAAAAUGAUAUUCUCAGUGGAGAUAUCUGGAACACUGCCUGUUUGCAUCUACAUGAAGCAAAAAUUCUGUCAUAUUAUUUCAACAGAGUUGAAUCUGAUUGAACAGGAAAGGUACUCUUUGGUAUAUGGCUUAAUCAAAUAUAUUUGGUUUUUGUGGCUGUGGCUAUAUUGUCUUCCCCUCUUUAGAGAGCUGUCCAAAGGGGCAGCUGCCAUUUUGGGAGCAUUGCAGCACAUUAUUGUGGAGCAAAUAAAGAAUAUAUUUUCUAUCAUACGGCACUGUGGGGUUUUUUGUUGUUUUCUCUAGGUCACUUGCUACCUUUGCUCAGUAAUAGAUCAGUGAAAGUACAUGAAGAGGGUGCAUAGCAAAACAUUCCAGUACAGGUUUACUUAUACAAGGUUUCUUUGUCCUACAGUCAGUCUGUAAAGAAAGAGAAAAUGGCUUAUUAUGAAGCUAACUAGAGAUGAUUUUGUGGUUCCCAAAAAUAUGAUUUUUACAAUGUGUGGUUUUUUCUUGAAGAGAGUGCCAAGAUCUUCAGUAAAAAUACAUUUGUAAGCUUCUCUUAAAGAAUAAGUUAAGAAAUCAACCCAGAAAUAUCCUUGUUUCUGUUCAGAAACUUGCUGAGUUUUCCAGGUCACAGAAGACUAUUUCCUGUCAGAACAAGAAGAGAGCUAAACCACUGAUUUGUUUAUGGGUGAAUAAAAAUACUAUGGCUGUAAAGUGCUUUGCUUGUGGGGAGGGGGAGAAUGGGAAAAGUCCAGAAGUUGCUGGGGAUUUUUUCUCCUUCUAAAAUUAAAUAAUGUUAUUUAUGUGCUUGUUUCACCAGCAAGUGACUGCCCUUAGUACACCUUCAGGUUUUGGAAUAAAAUCCUGCUUUAAUCAGUGUUACCUGUCCACUGUAACAAAGCCUGGACUGAAUCAAGUGGAGACCAGAAGCAAUUCUUUAUAACCAGACUUAGACUUCAUUUGCUGAGGCCUGAUCUCUCCCUUUGACUGCCAUAAGCAGGUAAAACAUAAAAUCUUGAGCUUCAGAUUCUUUCACAUGCAGAUUAUGGGACAGUUGUCAUCUUUGGGAUUUGCAGAGGGCUCCUAGGAAAGAUAGUGCUGUGGUUUUAGGAAGCUGUGUUUCCGGGUUUUAAGAAGCUUCAUAGUUUUAAUCUCUUGAUGGAGGGACGGUAGAAAUCAGCUGACUGUAUGGAUAUUCCUGGAACCAUUCCUUUCCCCAUCACAUAUAGGAUACUGGUUUAGUUGUGUGUGGGCACUAUAUUUUGGAAGGACUAGACCUACUUGAUAAUAUGUCCCUAUAAACAUCAAAGUAAAAUAUACUGGUCCUAAAUAGGACAUUGAUAUAGCAACUGUAAUCUGAAAUAAAAUAUCAGUCUGAGUCAGUUUGUGAGGUUUUGUGUAUGGAUUUAAAAGAAAGAAAAAAGCUGAGAUCCAGGAAUGAUUAAUGGAAGUUAAUCCAGAAAUGUUGCCUUGCAGCAUUCUAAGCAAGAACAGAGGACUGAUUCAGCCUCUGCAGUUUUGUAUGCAAAUUGCUCUUGCAAAGGAAGGGAGAUGGCUUCUGACAACUUGACUCUAGCAGUGCUGCAAGGCCCCUAGAACGGUCCUAUUUUCUAUUUUCUCCAGUUCCUUAUAUUCCUUGAGGUGUUGAUAAUGAAAGACUCCUGCCCAAACUGAAUGCAGCUCAUGUUGACAGAGACAGCAAAUACACAUGGUAGCUUUCAUAUUUCUCUGUCAAAUCGUUUGACUUUUUUUCAUGCCUUUUCCAUAGGGCAAACUGUGAAACAACAUACAAUUUCUGUCACCUCCUUGAGGUUUCAGCAGUGGGGUUACAAAAGAUGUGCAGGUCUCCAGAAAAACAUUCAGAAAAUGGUGUUUGAAUGAUCUUUGAACUCUUUUUAAGAUUCAAAGGAACUGCCUCACUUUCUCUGUAACCUCAGUAAUUGCUGAUUAAAAAAAAAAAAAGCAGAUUUUAGAAAGAAAUCAUGCAAUCUAGAAACAUACUUUCCAUCUGUGUAUUGCGGCUGAAAUCCAAAAUAGGCCAGCUGGUCAUAGCACAGCUCACAUAUUCACAGUAUCUGUCCUCUGAAUAAGUCAUUUCAUCAUAAACAGUGGAAAGCAAAAAGCAGAGUCUUAGCUUCUCUGAUUUUUCUUCCCCCUCUAUUUGACACUCAGAGGACUGGCAGAUACUAAAAGAUUCUUCUCUGAUGUUAAAUUUGAUAUCGUCAUUGCAUUUUAUUUGCUGCUCAAAUAUGUCUUUUUAAAACUGUGUGAUCCAGGAUGUGGAGUGGAAUGUUUGUUGUGGCAAAUGCCUCUCUUCAUUGGAGCAGUUUGGUCUGGCAGUGCUCCCAGUUGCUGUAGAUUUAGCAAGUAAGUUGUGCACAAACCCUUGAUUUUUGUUCUUGCUUUUUGUGGCACUCUAUAUCUUAAGAACUCCUGCAGUUUUUGGAACUAGAAAGUAGUGUCUUUCAGUAUCUACAUUUUAUAUCUAAUCAACAGGGACUGAUCCUAGCAAACUAGAAAUUCCUCUUUAAGUAAUGGGAAAUCUCUCCUUUAUUUCCCUCUACAUUAUUGAUUUUGCUAUGGAGAGCACACUCUGUGCUCAGGGGUUGCAACCUUCCCUGUUCCUUCCCUGGGCUGGAAUGUUUUGAACCAGCGCUGGUCACUCUGUGCUAAAACAUUUUAGAUAAAAAAAUAGAGAUGAUGUGUCAGGUGGGGGAGGAAGGAUGAAAGGUAAAGCUGUGGUAGUAGUAGUACUGCAGGAUCAUGAAAUGGAAGUUAGUCACUGCAGUUUUCUGAAGUGAUCUAAAUCAGUUUUGACCAGACACAAUGGAUAGGGAAUCAGUGACCAAGCUCUAUCUGAAACAUAACCAGUGAAGGAAAAUUACACCUGAACUUACAGUCUGGUGCUUUCCUAUUUUUUCUGAUUUUCCAUUCUUCAAGUAUGAAUAGACAGGACAGACUGUGUUUAAAGUGCUUUCUCUACCUAAUGGCCAAACUUUUGGCUACUUCUGUGACAAAAAGCAUGAAGCUGCAGUCUACAGCAAAUGGAUAUUAGGCUGGGAGUGGGAAAGAAUGCCUACUUUCACAAAAGUAAUCAAAACCCUUACUGCAUGUAUAGUGCAGUUUCCAUGCAUCCAUAUUAUACCUCCAUGCCUAAAUAACUACAAGCACAGCCUUACCCUGGGCUCUUAGAAGAAUACUAUUAUGCUUUGUAAUUGCAGCUGUGUGUUAAUAGGAUUCCUUCUCCU